UGCGUUGCCCGAUGCACCGUAACGGGUAGAUGAAUUUGAUGUCAUUUCUGCCGCUCGAUGAGCGACACAGGUUACACACAAUUUGGAAUCUCAAAUAUAAAUUCCUGUCAUUAUUGCUUCUAAAAUCGGGCCCUUAAUUACCGCUAAUAGAGCGUCCAGAUUAAAAGGGGGAUACAUAGGCCGUUGAUAGUAUAAAACAUUUUCGUUAAAAUCUCAUGCUACAUUCAUCGUGUAUAAAACAAGUGUGGAUACUGAAUGUUGGCAAAUGGGAAGUUCACAUGAAUAUGGGAUUGAGUAAAAGAAACUGCUUGCAAACCAAGUUCAUUAAAAACAUCCUCUGCGGGGUCGGAAAAAGCAACAAAUUCAUGUACAGAAUUCUGAAUUGCACUAAGAA
This 394-nucleotide small RNA is filed under the name Histoplasma capsulatum var. duboisii H88. RNAcentral describes it as "Histoplasma capsulatum H88 hypothetical RNA". Lineage: Eukaryota; Fungi; Ascomycota; Eurotiomycetes; Onygenales; Ajellomycetaceae. The record is from RNAcentral.